Molecule: ribosomal RNA, 593 nt
Filed under: uncultured bacterium
Lineage: Bacteria
Description: bacterial SSU rRNA
Rfam family: Bacterial small subunit ribosomal RNA
Source: RNAcentral
AGAUGAGCCCGCGUACCAUUAGCUUGUUGGUAGGGUAACGGCCUACCAAGGCUGCGAUGGUUAGCUGGUCUGAGAGGAUGAUCAGCCACACUGGAACUGACACACGGUCCAGACUCCUACGGGAGGCAGCAGUGAGGAAUUUUGCGCAAUGGGGGAAACCCUGACGCAGCAACGCCGCGUGAGUGAUGAAGGCCUUCGGGUCGUAAAGCUCUGUCAAGUGGGAAGAAUCUGCCCGGUGAUAAUACCGCUGGGCAAUGACGGUACCGCUGAAGGAAGCACCGGCUAACUCCGUGCCAGCAGCCGCGGUAAUACGGGGGGUGCUAGCGUUAUUCGGAAUCAUUGGGCGUAAAGGGCGCGUAGGCGGUCUUUUAAGUCAGAUGUGAAAGCCCUCGGCUUAACCGAGGAAGUGCAUUUGAUACUAAGAGACUUGAGUAUGGGAGAGGGAAGCGGAAUUCCUGGUGUAGCGGUGAAAUGCGUAGAUAUCAGGAGGAACACCGGUGGCGAAGGCGGCUUCCUGGACCAAUACUGACGCUGAGGCGCGAAGGCGUGGGGAGCGAACGGGAUUAGAUACCCUGGUAGUCCACGCGGUAAAC